RNAcentral lists this long non-coding RNA (992 nucleotides) under Homo sapiens (human). RNAcentral's name for it is "long non-coding RNA NONHSAT117258.2". The record is from RNAcentral. Lineage: Eukaryota; Metazoa; Chordata; Mammalia; Primates; Hominidae.
AUGAGAGGUCGUGACCUGCGCCCCGGGCCGGGGUCACUCACCGGCCUCGCUCUGGUUGUAGUAGCCGCGCAGGGUCCCCAGGUUCGCUCGGUCAGUCUGUGACUGGGCCUUCACAUUCCGUGUCUGCAGGUCCCAAUACUCCGGCCCCUCCUGCUCUAUCCACGGUGCCCGCGGCUCCAUCCUCUGGCUCGCGGCGUCGCUGUCAAACCGCACGAACUGCGUGUCGUCCACGUAGCCCACGGCGAUGAAGCGGGGCUCCCCGCGGCCGGGCCGGGACACGGAUGUGGUGAAAUACCUCAUGGAGUGGGAGCCUGGGGGCGAGGAGUGGCUGAGACCCACCCGACCCUCCUCCCGGCGCGGCUACCCGGGUCCUGCGUCCCCGCCGGGCGGGCCCCUUGCUUCUCCCCGCAGAGGCGGUUUCCCCACGACCCCGCACUCACCCGCCCAGGUCUGGGUCAGGGCCAGGGCCCCCAAGAGUAGCAGGAGGAGGGUUCGGGGCGCCAUGACGGCCAUCCUCGGCGUCUGGGGAGAAUCUGAGUCCCGGUGGGUGCGUGCGGACUUUAGAACCGCGACCGCGACGACACUGAUUGGCUUCUCUGGAAACCCGACACCCAAUGGGAGUGAGAACUGGGUCCGCGUCGUGAGUAUCCAGGAAGAAGGACCCUACAUAGGUUGGCAGAGGGAGAAAAGAAACUGCGGAGUUGGGGAAUCCCCAAGGCUGGGACUCCCCAAUCCAUACACCGCCUUCGGGGCCUGAGACCCUGAGAGCCACGCCUGGGGCCCUGGGACUUCGCCCUGACCCCUCUGCUCCUGUGCCAAGCUCUCUGUCUCAAUGUCUCCCUGAGUCUUGGCCCAAGAGCUGUCUGAGAAACAAGGGAGAAACCCUCGGCAUGGGCCCCGUCCCUCUCCUUUCACUUUUCAUCCCGUAAUCUCUGUCCCUGAACUGGACUCCCUGACUCCCACUCCUUACCUGUCCACCUGGACUCUUCUAG